Molecule: ribosomal RNA, 460 nt
Filed under: uncultured bacterium
Lineage: Bacteria
Description: partial 16S ribosomal RNA
Rfam family: Bacterial small subunit ribosomal RNA
Source: RNAcentral
CCUACGGGAGGCAGCAGUGAGGAAUAUUGGUCAAUGGACGAGAGUCUGAACCAGCCAAGUCGCGUGAAGGAUGACUGCCCUAUGGGUUGUAAACUUCUUUUAUAUGGGAAUAAAAUGUUCCACGUGUGGGAUUUUGUAUGUACCAUAUGAAUAAGGAUCGGCUAACUCCGUGCCAGCAGCCGCGGUAAUACGGAGGAUCCGAGCGUUAUCCGGAUUUAUUGGGUUUAAAGGGAGCGUAGGUGGAUUGUUAAGUCAGUUGUGAAAGUUUGCGGCUCAACCGUAAAAUUGCAGUUGAAACUGGCAGUCUUGAGUACAGUAGAGGUGUGCGGAAUGCGUGGUGUAGCGGUGAAAUGCUUAGAUAUCACGAAGAACUCCGAUUGCGAAGGCAGUUCACUGGACUGCAACUGACACUGAGGCACGAAAGUGUGGGUAUCAAACAGGAUUAGAUACCCUAGUAGUC